RNAcentral lists this ribosomal RNA (254 nucleotides) under uncultured bacterium. RNAcentral's name for it is "partial 16S ribosomal RNA". It matches the Rfam family "Bacterial small subunit ribosomal RNA", at positions 524 to 776 of the family's 1533-position model. The record is from RNAcentral.
UACGGAGGGUGCGAGCGUUGUUCGGAAUCACUGGGCGUAAAGGGCGCGUAGGUGGCCCGGUCAGUUCGUGGUGAAAGCGCGGGGCUCAACCCUGCGUCGGCCAUGAAUACUGCCGCGGCUGGAGCACUGUAGAGGCAGGCGGAAUUCCGGGUGUAGCGGUGGAAUGCGUAGAGAUCCGGAAGAACACCGGUGGCGAAGGCGGCCUGCUGGGCAGUUGCUGACACUGAGGCGCGACAGCGUGGGGAGCGAACAGG